This 571-nucleotide ribosomal RNA is filed under the name uncultured bacterium. Its description in RNAcentral is "partial 16S ribosomal RNA". It matches the Rfam family "Bacterial small subunit ribosomal RNA", at positions 355 to 1375 of the family's 1533-position model. The record is from RNAcentral.
UGGGGAAUAUUGGACAAUGGGCGGAAGCCUGAUCCAGCAACGCCGCGUGAGGGAUGACGGCCUUCGGGUUGUAAACCUCUUUCAGCACAGACGAAGCGCAAGUGACGGUAUGUGCAGAAGAAGGACCGGCCAACUACGUGCCAGCAGCCGCGGUAAUACGUAGGGUCCGAGCGUUGUCCGGAAUUAUUGGGCGUAAAGGGCUCGUAGGCGGUUUGUCGCGUCGGGAGUGAAAACACCGGGCUUAACUCGGUGCUUGCUUUCGAUACGGGCAGACUAGAGGCAUUCAGGGGAGAACGGAAUUCCUGGUGUAGCGGUGAAAUGCGCAGAUAUCAGGAGGAACACCGGUGGCGAAGGCGGUUCUCUGGGAAUGUCCUGACGCUGAGGAGCGAAAGUGUGGGGAGCGAACAGGAUUAGAUACCCUGGUAGUCCACACCGUAAACGUUGGGCGCUAGGUGUGGGAUCCCAUUCCCACGGGGUUCCGUGCCGCAGCUAACGCAUUAAGCGCCCCGCCUGGGGAGUACGGCCGCAAGGCUAAAACUUAAAUGAAUUGACGGGGUCAUAGCUGUUUCCU